This 355-nucleotide ribosomal RNA is filed under the name uncultured Paraprevotella sp. RNAcentral's name for it is "bacterial SSU rRNA". It matches the Rfam family "Bacterial small subunit ribosomal RNA", at positions 354 to 703 of the family's 1533-position model. Lineage: Bacteria; Pseudomonadati; Bacteroidota; Bacteroidia; Bacteroidales; Prevotellaceae. The record is from RNAcentral.
UGAGGGAAUAUUUGGGGUCAAUGGGCGCGAGCCUGAACCAGCCAAGUAGCGUGAGGGAUGACUGCCCUAUGGGUUGUAAACCUCUUUUGAUUGGGAACAAAGAGCGCCACGUGUGGUGCGUUGCGUGUACCUUUCGAAUAAGCAUCGGCUAAUUCCGUGCCAGCAGCCGCGGUAAUACGGAAGAUGCGAGCGUUAUCCGGAUUUAUUGGGUUUAAAGGGAGCGUAGGCGGGCUGUUAAGUCAGCGGUCAAAAUGUCAGGGCCCAACCUUGGCAUGCCGUUGAUACUGGCGGCCUUGAGUUCACACAAGGAAGGUGGAAUUCGUCGUGUAGCGGUGAAAUGCUUAGAUAUGACGAA